This 468-nucleotide ribosomal RNA is filed under the name uncultured bacterium. RNAcentral describes it as "partial 16S ribosomal RNA". It matches the Rfam family "Bacterial small subunit ribosomal RNA", at positions 28 to 507 of the family's 1533-position model. The record is from RNAcentral.
GACGAACGCUGGCGGCGUGCUUAACACAUGCAAGUCGAACGGAAAGGCCCUGCUGUUGUGGGGUGCUCGAGUGGCGAACGGGUGAGUAAUACGUGAGUAACCUGCCCUUGACUUUGGGAUAACUUCAGGAAACUGGGGCUAAUACCGGAUAGGAGCUCCUGCUGCAUGGUGGGGGUUGGAAAGUUUCGGCGGUUGGGGAUGGACUCGCGGCUUAUCAGCUUGUUGGUGGGGUAGUGGCUUACCAAGGCUUUGACGGGUAGCCGGCCUGAGAGGGUGACCGGCCACAUUGGGACUGAGGUACGGCCCAGACUCCUACGGGAGGCACGAGUGGGGAAUAUUGCACAAUAGGCGGAAGCCUGAUGCAGCAACGCCGCGUGCGGGAUGACGGCCUUCGGGUUGUAAACCACUUUCGCCUGUGACGAAGCGUGAGUGACGGUAAUGGAUAAAGAAGCACCGGCUAACUACGUG